CUCGCUUUCCGAGAGCUCCAAACAGGCUGCAACCAUCUUGACUUGGACUCAACCACUGCACUGUCGCCUGAGGCUGCCCAGUGUAGUCCUCCACGACGGCCGUCCAUAGAGCAAGGAAGCUCUGCCCUUCGUGCGUGAGAGCUUUCGAUGGUUAUGUGUGUGCAGAGCCACGAUUCUGCCUGCGACGAUCCGUGAGGCCUCCCCUCUCCCUCCGCCGCCAUGUUUCCUCGGACGCCUCUUCAGGCGCGUCGCCCCCACCUGGGCUGACCCCGCCAGGACUUCUCCGCGGUUUGCGGGGCUCUGGGGGGCGCGCGCAGCCAGCAUCCGCGGCGCUCUCCGUGCUCUUGGGGACUCCCGGGCGCCGCCCACCGUCGUGUGACUCCGGCUAAGCGUCAGGGAGCUGAGCCCGAUCCCACACGCUAGGAUAAAAUAGCGAACGAAAACGGGGCCGAAGUGGAGUACAGCGAUGUAUCAUCAUCCCUUCUCUGUCCCCUCGGGCGCGACUGAGUCUGACCACGUUCUCGGCCCCUUCGAAAACCUCGUCCAAAAAAGCUUAGUCUCAGCGUCCCUGGUCCCUAGUCCCCAGCUUCAGCCACCCACCCCAUCUGACACUGGUGUGAAGAGAAGGGAGUGCAUCCUGAGACCUGGACUUGUAGAUGGUGAAAAUGGAAUGAAUAAAUGGAAGAAGCUGUAAGCAAUGAAGGCAACCCAAACAAAAGAGUCUUCUCAGGACAGUGUUUAUCAACGUUUUAACUACAACCCACACCACACCUUUAACAUCUGGAAAUUCUCAGGCUAAGGGUCAAAUCAGAGCUGCAGCUGCCGACUUACACCACAGCCACAGCAACUCGGGAUCUGAAGCACAUCUGUGACCUACACCACAGCACAUGGCAACACUGAAUCCUUAAACCACUGAGCCAAGACCAGGGAUCAAACUUGCCUUCUCAUGGAUACUAGUUGGGUUCGUUACUGCUGAGCCACAACAGGAAUUUCCCCAGCCCGCUACUCUUGAUGCACUGCUCCCCAACUGAGACUGCCAUCCUUAUCUAGCUCUGCCCAACCUGGUCAGUCUCGAACAGCUGAUGCUAGGUGGCUUGAUUAUACCUGGGUGUGCCUGGGGACAAUACAGAGUAAAGGAGGAAAUUCCCAAGUGAGAACAUGUCUGCAUUGCUAGGGUAGAUGAGAGGGCCAAAGAUCUCCCUGCCAUCAGCACAUGCGGGAGCUUUGAUCUCUUAGUUUAAUCGGAAGAACGUGUUGUGCAGCUGUGUUCACCUACUGGUUGCUCCCUAUUAUCCCAUUCCUGAGUACAGAAAACUUAGAGACUUGCCCAUAGGGCGUUGUUUUGGAAUUUGUUACAAUGUGUCAUUUGGGGUUAUUGACCUGUGUGAACAUACGGUUUUUAUUGGAGUUGUUUGGUUCCCCCACACAGGUUAUGGUGAGAGCCCCCUCUUACUACCAAGAAAACCUGGCCCCUUGGAUUGUUUCCCCGCCAGCAGGAAGGCUUUCAUGCAACGGAAGCCACUCCCUGGCCCCACCCCUAGUAGGGUCUCUGAUGAGCUGGGCUUCAGAUCCUGCUGGUUCUGUGAAGAUGGGCUGGUGGCCGUGAACCUGGAGAUACUUACAAAAUCCCCUUGGGAACUCCCACACCCAGGCUCUGCCACCCUUGUCUCUCUGGUUUCCAGUGUGUCACCUGGCCCCUGAUCAGACCCUAAGGGAGCCCCCCCUUGCUGGGAAAAGGUAGUGUGGGUUGCGAAAGGUAAGGUGUUCUUUUGCUCAGAAGUCUUUUGGGGCCUCCCUUGAUUUGCCCACAUCACACCCCAGAUUACCGACGUGCCGAAAGCCCUUCAGGUCCCUUGCCUCCUACCUUGCAGGGCUUUCCCAAGACCACAGACACUCACGCAGCCUCCACAGUCUCCAGCCUCUGAGCCACCAGAGUGGGACUUUCAGAGAUGAUACCACCUGCCCACACUCGCUCAGCUUGAGGUCUAACCUCAGGUUGGGUGGGGGGAGAGCCUGGAUACUCCAAGCCCAGCCCUGUUGUGGGUAGGAAACAAGGACCCACAACCGAGUAAAUAUGAGUGCUUCUUACACCUCCCUCACUGACACCGUUUGGUCACUGGACCAGUGUCCCUACCUUUCCCCUCCCCGCUCAAAAAUAUCUGCUUGGCUGACUUCAAAGAAAAGCAGACACAUUCCUGAUAAUGACACUCAGAGCAAAAUUCUCCCUGGCCAGUCUGCACUGGAGACAGUAUAGAAAUCUGCAGGUGUGUGUGUGUGUGUGUGUCCCUGUGCAUGCAAAGAGGCAGGUGUUUGAAGGGAACUAUGAAAUGCGAGAAACCACAGUGACACAGAAAGGGGAAGGCAGAGGAAGGUCCAGGUGGACAAAGCCUAGGAGAGUACAGGGUUCGGCUCAGACUCGUAGAUGCCAGUAGAGCUUGCCAUGUGGAACGGAGUCAGCCUGUUAGUACAUCCCUCCUAGGUGCUAAAGGAAAUGGACAACCAUGAACGACACCCUCCUGUGGAUUGUAGGAGCCAAGCAGUGGGGCACAGAGGUACACAGGACAGAUCCAGGGCUUAUAGAUGCAGAUGGCAGAAAUGAUGACUGCACCUGAAAUGGAUGAUAAAGGUAAACUGAGUGCAGGAUAAUGUAACUCCCAGGGCCAGGGCUCAGGAAAAAGAGGGAAUAAUUCGCACGCAUUUUCUUAGGAAGAGCCAUGUCAUCUCAGUUUCUCCCGUUUAAAACCCAGGGAUACUAAAAAGUAAAUAUGUAUAUAAUAGAUAUAAUGCAUCUGCUAAAGGACAGAGACUCAAACUGGAUUUUUAAAAGUCAAUCUGUAUUUUGUUUAUAAUUCAUAGUAACACAAAAAUGUUGACAGUGAAAUGAUAGAAAAAGAAAGUUGGUUUAGCAAUAUUAGCAUCAGCAAUAAUAUUUUAAUUAAUAAUUAUUAUCAAAUAGACAUAAAAUACAAGCAUUGUAUGAUGAUGAUAAAGAGAAUCAUUACUUAAGCUACUAUACCAGGAAGAUACAGUAAUAACUGAAUGUGCAUACAUUUAGCAACAGUCUUGAAAUACAUGAUGUGAAAAUUGACAGAAUUAUAAGCGGAAAUUAACAAAUUCACAAUUAGAAUGGAAGGUUUCUGGGGGAGAUUUCCAUUUAUCAUUUUUAGAAACUCAAAGCCUAAGGAGUAAAAAAUUGAAUAAGAAUAUAAAUCAUAAAUCAUUACAAGACAACUUAUUAAGGAAGGCCAUACCUAAAAGCUUGCACCCCCAAAUGGAGAAUACACAUUUUUUCCAAGAAUACAUGACAAAAUAGUCAGAAAGGUAGACAAUAAGCCAAUUCUCAAAAAAAAAAGACCAAAAAAAUUUAUAUGUUCUGUAACCACAAUGAAAUAAAAUAAAAAAUUCAAUUUCAAAAAGGUAAAUAGGAGUUCCCUGGUGGCUCAGUGGGUUAUGGAUCCAGCUGUGGUUCCAUCCCUGGCCUGGAACUUCCAUAUGCUGCAGGUGCAGCU
This 3509-nucleotide long non-coding RNA is filed under the name Sus scrofa (pig). RNAcentral's name for it is "lncRNA (ENSSSCG00055006323.1)". Lineage: Eukaryota; Metazoa; Chordata; Mammalia; Artiodactyla; Suidae. The record is from RNAcentral.